UGCUAUGAUGAUUAAGUGAAAUAAUCUCGUUAAUCUGAUUAAUAAUGAGGAUAACUAUCAUACCCAUUCGUUACUUUUCUGAGC
Small nucleolar RNA from Lathyrus oleraceus (garden pea), 84 nucleotides. RefSeq annotates it as small nucleolar RNA U30. Lineage: Eukaryota; Viridiplantae; Streptophyta; Magnoliopsida; Fabales; Fabaceae. The record is from RefSeq and is a predicted model, not a curated record. The transcript has a single exon.